This 497-nucleotide ribosomal RNA is filed under the name uncultured bacterium. RNAcentral's name for it is "partial 16S ribosomal RNA". It matches the Rfam family "Bacterial small subunit ribosomal RNA", at positions 28 to 507 of the family's 1533-position model. The record is from RNAcentral.
GAUGAACGCUGGCGGCGUGCCUAAUAUAUGCAAGUAGAACGCUGAAGGAAGGAGCUUGCUCUUUCCGGAUGAGUUGCGAACGGGUGAGUAACGCGUAGGUAACCUGCCUGGUAGCGGGGGAUAACUAUUGGAAACGAUAGCUAAUACCGCAUAACAGUAGAUAUUGCAUGAUAUCUGCUUGAAAGGGGCAAUUGCUCCACUACCAGAUGGACCUGCGUUGUAUUAGCUAGUUGGUGAGGUAACGGCUCACCAAGGCGACGAUACAUAGCCGACCUGAGAGGGUGAUCGGCCACACUGGGACUGAGACACGGCCCAGACUCCUACGGGAGGCAGCAGUAGGGAAUCUUCGGCAAUGGACGGCAGUCUGACCGAGCAACGCCGCGUGAGUGAAGAAGGUUUUCGGAUCGUAAAGCUCUGUUGUAAGAGAAGAACGAGUGUGAGAGUGGAAAGUUCACACUGUGACGGUAUCUUACCAGAAAGGGACGGCUAACUACGUG